AACGCGAAGAACCUUACCUGGGCUCGAAAUGUAGAGGACGAUAUCAGAGAUGAUAUUUCUCGAAAGGGUCUCUAUAUAGGUGCUGCAUGGCUGUCGUCAGCUCGUGCCGUGAGGUGUUUGGUUAAGUCCAGCAACGAGCGCAACCCUUAUCAUUAGUUGCCAGCGCGUAACGGCGGGAACUCUAAUGAGACUGCCUGGGUUAACCAGGAGGAAGGUGAGGAUGACGUCAAGUCCGCAUGGCCUUUAUGUCCAGGGCUACACACGUGCUACAAUGGUCGGUACAGAGGGCUGCGAGACCGCAAGGUGGAGCGAAUCUCAAAAAGCCGGUCUCAGUUCGGAUUGGGGUCUGCAACUCGACCCCAUGAAGUCGGAGUCGCUAGUAAUCGCGAAUCAGCAACGUCGCGGUGAAUACGUUCCCGGGCCUUGUACACACCGAGUAUA
This 441-nucleotide ribosomal RNA is filed under the name uncultured bacterium. RNAcentral's name for it is "bacterial SSU rRNA". It matches the Rfam family "Bacterial small subunit ribosomal RNA", at positions 958 to 1398 of the family's 1533-position model. The record is from RNAcentral.